ACGAACGCUGGCGGCGUGCUUAGCACAUGCAAGUCGAACGGAAAGGCCCUGCUUUUGUGGGGUGCUCGAGUGGCGAACGGGUGAGUAACACGUAAGUAACCUGCCCUUGACUUUGGGAUAACUUCAGGAAACUGGGGCUAAUACCGGAUAGGAGCUCCUGCUGCAUGGUGGGGGUUGGAAAGUUUCGGCGGUUGGGGAUGGACUCGCGGCUUAUCAGCUUGUUGGUGGGGUAGUGGCUUACCAAGGCUUUGACGGGUAGCCGGCCUGAGAGGGUGACCGGCCACAUUGGGACUGAGAUACGGCCCAGACUCCUACGGGAGGCAGCAGUGGGGAAUAUUGCACAAUGGGCGGAAGCCUGAUGCAGCAACGCCGCGUGCGGGAUGACGGCCUUCGGGUUGUAAACCGCUUUCGCCUGUGACGAAGCGUGAGUGACGGUAAUGGGUAAAGAAGCACCGGCUAACUACGUG
This 467-nucleotide ribosomal RNA is filed under the name uncultured bacterium. RNAcentral describes it as "partial 16S ribosomal RNA". It matches the Rfam family "Bacterial small subunit ribosomal RNA", at positions 29 to 507 of the family's 1533-position model. The record is from RNAcentral.